Molecule: ribosomal RNA, 253 nt
Filed under: uncultured bacterium
Lineage: Bacteria
Description: partial 16S ribosomal RNA
Rfam family: Bacterial small subunit ribosomal RNA
Source: RNAcentral
UACAUGGGGUGCAAACGUUGCUCGGAAUUAUUGGGCGUAAAGCGCGCGUAGGCGGUUACUCAAGUCGGAUGUGAAAGCCCUCGGCUUAACUGAGGAAGUGCACCCGAAACUGAGUAGCUAGAGUACUAAAGAGGGUCGCGGAAUUCCCGGUGUAGAGGUGAAAUUCGUAGAUAUCUGGAGGAACACCGGUGGCGAAGGCGGCAUCCUGGACCGGCAUUGACGCUGAGGCGCGAAAGCCAGGGGAGCAAACGGG